GAUGAACGCUGGCGGCGUGCCUAAUACAUGCAAGUCGAGCGAACAGACGAGGAGCUUGCUCCUCUGACGUUAGCGGCGGACGGGUGAGUAACACGUGGAUAACCUACCUAUAAGACUGGGAUAACUUCGGGAAACCGGAGCUAAUACCGGAUAAUAUAUUGAACCGCAUGGUUCAAUAGUGAAAGACGGUUUUGCUGUCACUUAUAGAUGGAUCCGCGCCGCAUUAGCUAGUUGGUAAGGUAACGGCUUACCAAGGCGACGAUGCGUAGCCGACCUGAGAGGGUGAUCGGCCACACUGGAACUGAGACACGGUCCAGACUCCUACGGGAGGCAGCAGUAGGGAAUCUUUCGCAAUGGGCGAAAGCCUGACGGAGCAACGCCGCGUGAGUGAUGAAGGUCUUCGGAUCGUAAAACUCUGUUAUUAGGGAAGAACAAAUGUGUUAGUAACUAUGCACGUCUUGACGGUACCUAAUCAGAAAGCCACGGCUAACUACGUG
RNAcentral lists this ribosomal RNA (497 nucleotides) under uncultured bacterium. RNAcentral's name for it is "partial 16S ribosomal RNA". It matches the Rfam family "Bacterial small subunit ribosomal RNA", at positions 28 to 507 of the family's 1533-position model. The record is from RNAcentral.